UUCUAUCCUGGGCAUCCACUUCGGUCUG
This 28-nucleotide small RNA is filed under the name Bombyx mori (domestic silkworm). Its description in RNAcentral is "ovarian small RNA-37483". Lineage: Eukaryota; Metazoa; Arthropoda; Insecta; Lepidoptera; Bombycidae. The record is from RNAcentral.